This 465-nucleotide ribosomal RNA is filed under the name uncultured bacterium. RNAcentral's name for it is "partial 16S ribosomal RNA". It matches the Rfam family "Bacterial small subunit ribosomal RNA", at positions 28 to 507 of the family's 1533-position model. The record is from RNAcentral.
GACGAACGCUGGCGGCGUGCUUAACACAUGCAAGUCGAACGGAAAGGCCCUGCUUGCAGGGUACUCGAGUGGCGAACGGGUGAGUAACACGUGGGUGAUCUGCCCUGCACUUCGGGAUAAGCCUGGGAAACUGGGUCUAAUACCGGAUAGGAGCCAUUUUUAGUGUGAUGGUUGGAAAGUUUUUUCGGUGUAGGAUGAGCUCGCGGCGUAUCAGCUUGUUGGUGGGGUAAUGGCCUACCAAGGCGGCGACGGGUAGCCGGCCUGAGAGGGUGGACGGCCACACUGGGACUUAGAGACGGCACAGACUCCUACGGGUGGCAGCAGUGGGGAAGACUGCACAAUGGGCGCAAGCCUGAUGCAGCGACGCCGCGUGGGGGAUGACGGCCUUCGGGUUGUAAACUCCUUUCGCUAGGGACGAAGCUUUUUGUGACGGUACCUAGAUAAGAAGCACCGGCUAACUACGUG